Molecule: long non-coding RNA, 379 nt
Organism: Puntigrus tetrazona (Sumatra barb)
Lineage: Eukaryota; Metazoa; Chordata; Actinopteri; Cypriniformes; Cyprinidae
Exons: 3
Source: RefSeq, a predicted model, not a curated record
GGAAAUUCAGGAGUCACUCUGCUCUCUGCUGUACUGGAGAAUCAUCACUGUAACCUUAAGAAACUAGAGUUGAGAUAUUGUGGUGUCACAGAUGAAGGUUGUGCUGCUCUGGCUUCAGCUCUGAGAUCAAACCCCUCACAUCUGAGACAACUGGAUCUAUCUGGAAAUAACCUAGGAGACUCAGUGAUACUGCUUUCUGAUGUACUACAGAAUCCUCUCUGUAAACUUGAAAAACUGUGGUUGUGGAACUGCGGUGUCACAGAUGAAGGUUGUGCUGCUCUGGCUUCAGCUCUGAAAUCGAACCCCUCGCACCUGACAGAGCUGGAUCUGUCUAAUAAUAAACUACGUGACUCAGAUAUGCAGCUUCUCUGUGAUGCAC